UACGUAGGGGGCAAGCGUUAUCCGGAUUUACUGGGUGUAAAGGGAGCGUAGACGGCCAGACAAGUCUGAAGUGAAAAUCCAGCGCUUAACGUUGGAAGUGCUUUGGAAACUGCCGGGCUAGAGCGCAGGAGGGGCAGGCGGAAUUCCUAGUGUAGCGGUGAAAUGCGUAGAUAUUAGGAGGAACACCAGUGGCGAAGGCGGCCUGCUGGACUGCAACUGACGUUGAGGCUCGAAGGCGUGGGGAGCAAACAGG
This 253-nucleotide ribosomal RNA is filed under the name uncultured bacterium. RNAcentral describes it as "partial 16S ribosomal RNA". It matches the Rfam family "Bacterial small subunit ribosomal RNA", at positions 524 to 776 of the family's 1533-position model. The record is from RNAcentral.